Molecule: long non-coding RNA, 341 nt
Organism: Glycine soja
Lineage: Eukaryota; Viridiplantae; Streptophyta; Magnoliopsida; Fabales; Fabaceae
Exons: 3
Source: RefSeq, a predicted model, not a curated record
AAACAUACAAAACAUGGCUAGAUUACAAAUAGAACAGAUCAGUGGUACAAUAAUUUCCUUGAAACUGCAAUUUCAGAUCAGUGGGCAUCGAGAAUGUGAGGAUCCAAUUACAAGUGCACUCAUGCACACAUGGACUCUGUAACCAUAAAAUCAAAGAUGAGCAGCAAUAGGUGAUUUUGGAGGGAGAUUUUUUUGUUGGAGUCGCUGAGCAAACCUCAUAACGUUGGAGUUCUUUUGGGAGAGUUGUGUUUUGUAAUCAAACUCUUCUUUAAUUGGUUCCUUAUUUUUUUAUUGAAUAUGUAAAUUACAAGUUUAAAUACAUGUAAAAAAUUAAAUUAUAC